Rhododendron vialii is the source of this 620-nucleotide long non-coding RNA. RefSeq lists it as uncharacterized. Lineage: Eukaryota; Viridiplantae; Streptophyta; Magnoliopsida; Ericales; Ericaceae. The transcript has 2 exons. The record is from RefSeq and is a predicted model, not a curated record.
GGGAAUCAUUACUGAUUCCAAACAGACUGAUCCAAAUUCUCCAAAUCAUCCAUCCGCAAACACGAGGAAGGGGAAAAGCUAGGGUUGUGGUUUACUGGCACAUCUGACUGACGGAAAUGGCGAUGAGGAAGUUCUACAGCGAGAUCAGGGGGCUGAAGGUGAGCGAGGUGCCAAAUCACGUGAAGCCGAUGCUCUCCAUUGACUUUGUGAAGAACGCGGUCAAGAAGGGGUUGGACAACUACCACGCCAAGUACAUCCAGACCAGCUCGAUCGAUCCUCUCUACCACGUCUGCUUUGGCGGCAUGAUCUUCUCCUACCUCGUCGCUCUCCCCGAGGAGCGACGCCACCUCGAGCAUCAGCAGCACCACGCCAAGGAACACGGCGGUGCCCACUGAUGGCCACUGCUUCGUCAAAGCUUGAGUGGUUGAUUUCGUGAAGGACAAGUGUUGGUGUCCAUCGAUUGAUUAUGCUUCUUUUUUCUUUUUUCUUUUUUUACUUUUGGAUGCACCCUAUUGGAUACUGAGUUGUACUGUGGGGCACAAUUAACUGAGAGAAUAAGUGUUUUUAAAAACUUCUUUUGUUAUCAUAUUGACAGUAUAAAUCUGCGCGCUUUCAACCCA